CGCUGGCGGCGUGCCUAACACAUGCAAGUCGAACGAGAAAGUGGAGCAAUCCAUGAGUAAAGUGGCGACCGGGUGAGUAACACGUGACUAACCUGCCCCCGAGUGGGGAAUAACUCCGGGAAACCGGGGCUAAUACCGCAUAACAUCGCAAGAUCAAAGCCGAAAUGCGCUUGAAGAGGGGGUCGCGGCUGAUUAGCUCGUUGGUAGGGUAACGGCCCACCAAGGCCAAGAUCGGUAUCCGGCCUGAGAGGGCGCACGGACACACUGGAACUGAAACACGGUCCAGACUCCUACGGGAGGCAGCAGUGGGGAAUUUUGCGCAAUGGGGGAAACCCUGACGCAGCAACGCCGCGUGGAGGAUGAAGUCCUUUGGGACGUAAACUCCUUUCGACUCGGACGAUAAUGACGGUACGAGUGGAAGAAGCACCGGCUAACUCUGUGCCAGCAGCCGCGGUAAUACAGAGGGUGCGAGCGUUGUUCGGAAUUAUUGGGCGUAAAGGGCGCGUANGCGGUGCGGUAAGUCACCUGUGAAAUC
RNAcentral lists this ribosomal RNA (535 nucleotides) under uncultured bacterium. RNAcentral describes it as "bacterial SSU rRNA". It matches the Rfam family "Bacterial small subunit ribosomal RNA", at positions 34 to 601 of the family's 1533-position model. The record is from RNAcentral.